AGAGCGAACGCUGGCGGCAGGCCUAAUACAUGCAAGUCGAACGGAUCCUUCGGGAUUAGUGGCGGACGGGUGAGUAACACGUGGGAACGUGCCCUUUGGUUCGGAACAACUCAGGGAAACUUGAGCUAAUACCGAAUGUGCCCUUCGGGGGAAAGAUUUAUCGCCAUUGGAGCGGCCCGCGUCUGAUUAGCUAGUUGGUAGGGUAAAGGCCUACCAAGGCUACGAUCAGUAGCUGGUCUGAGAGGAUGAUCAGCCACACUGGGACUGAGACACGGCCCAGACUCCUACGGGAGGCAGCAGUAGGGAAUCUUGCGCAAUGGGCGAAAGCCUGACGCAGCCAUGCCGCGUGAAUGAUGAAGGUCUUAGGAUUGUAAAAUUCUUUCAGCGGGGACGAUAAUGACGGUACCCGCAGAAGAAGCCCGGACUAACUCGUGCCAGCAGCCGC
This 445-nucleotide ribosomal RNA is filed under the name uncultured bacterium. RNAcentral's name for it is "SSU rRNA". It matches the Rfam family "Bacterial small subunit ribosomal RNA", at positions 26 to 518 of the family's 1533-position model. The record is from RNAcentral.